AUUCCCGACCAGGUGAGAGCAGCUCCAUCCAAGCCUGAGCCUAGUGCAAAGUUUGAAGUGCUGAUGAAGCAUGAAAAUCAGAAGCAACUCAAGCUGGAUCAUGUUCAGCUGGAUGCAGCAGUCCUUGCCUCAAUUGACAGCAUCUACAACUACAAGUGCAUCGUGUCUGGUGGGGAAUGCACAUUUCUUAUGGGAUUUGGUCGAUCACAUGUGUACAGGAGGUUACCUAAUGGGAAAUGGAUGAAGCUGGACAUAAACGUUGAACUUCCAAGAGAAACACU
Long non-coding RNA from Priapulus caudatus, 281 nucleotides. RefSeq lists it as uncharacterized. NCBI's taxonomy places the organism in Eukaryota, Metazoa, Priapulida, Priapulimorpha, Priapulimorphida, Priapulidae. The transcript is spliced from 3 exons. The record is from RefSeq and is a predicted model, not a curated record.